RNAcentral lists this long non-coding RNA (2123 nucleotides) under Ricinus communis (castor bean). Its description in RNAcentral is "long non-coding RNA (RCOM_LNC002734)". Lineage: Eukaryota; Viridiplantae; Streptophyta; Magnoliopsida; Malpighiales; Euphorbiaceae. The record is from RNAcentral.
GCUAAUGUUGAAGAUUCUACAGCUUUGGCUGUUGCGCUAUCUGGGCACUGUAAGGCACGUAAUGAAAUGGUCUUUGAGCAAAGAACAUGGACCAGUGCAGAUAUUAGAGAUAAGGCUGUAUUAGUCCAGCAUCACUUCAUCAUGAGCAGACAGUACCCUGUAGGUCAGAGUUUGGCACCUGUCUAGACAAAACUAACGGCGAAGCCACUUGGCAAGCACCUCCACCAGGUCACUUCAAGGCCAAUUUUGACGGGGCAGUCAUUCAGCAUUGCAACUUUGGACCUCAGUGGGUGAUAGCUCGCAAUCACUUGGGUGACCUGUGUUAUGCCGAGCACGACACUGCACCAGUGCCCCGCUGGGCUUUUUACUUAAAUAAGGAAAAAAAAAAAGAGGAAAUAUUUCCUCAGCUGUCUUUCUUUGGCACGUGAAGAGUGUUGAAAUUUUAUUAAAAAUGGACGAUAUUUAAAGUGACGAGCAUUGUAGAGUGUAAGGUCGAAAACUUAGAGUGUCGACUAUUCACAAAGAAUAUGAAAUCUGUCGGUCACACCUGCUAUAGACACUGAUAAACAAGACUUGACACUCUUUGACGUCACGAGCAUAUGAUCGGCACUAUGACUAGCGAUCACAUGCCUUCCCAUUUAUAUAUAUAUUAUAUAUACACUUCUCCUUUCUUUCGGUUUGGUUAGUUUCUUUUACUCCUGUGAGUUUUCUCCUUUCUUCUAUACGACUAUCGAUCAAAUUAGAAAAAAAAUAGAGAGAAAGAAAAAUAAUACAGAGCAAAAAAUAAAGAAAAAGAGAAAGGGUUGGGUGAGGUAAAAAGAGUUGUUAUUUUGAGAUAGCGUGAAGAACUUACGUGGGGUAAGAAGUACUUGUUUUUUUUUUUUCAGUUUAUUAAAUUAUAAUAUAUAUUAUAAUUUUAUGAUAUUCUUUUUUAUUUUAAUUUAAAUUGUAGAUUAUUAAUACAAAAAACAGAUAAAAAAGAAAGAGCUGCACGAGGUACGUAGAAAUUUUUUACGUGAAACUAUUUGUGUAUUUAUUUUAUUUUAUGAUGUUUAUAUUUUUAUUAAUUUUUACUUUAUUUCUAUAUUUCAUUAUAGAUUUUGAUGUGUUGUAUUUGUUAUGUGAUGUUUAUAUUAUUUUGAAUUUUUUUAGUUAAAUAAAUAAAGAAUUUAAACUAGAAUAAACUAUAUAUUAAUUAUUUUUUGCUUAAUACCAUGUAAACUUAUCUUGAUGCAUACGCUGAAAAUUUUUUAUGAUAAAUUUAUAUGUCUAUUUUAUGUAUAUUGUAUUUGUAUAUAUGUAUAUUAUUUUUUGAUGUUUAUAUGUUUCUGUUUUUUUGUUAUUUAAUUUUAAUUCAUAUAUUAUUGUAAUUUUGAUAUGUAUUUUUAUUUAUAUGUGAUGUUUAUAUUAUGUUAAAUUUUUUGACUUAAAUAAAUUAAAAUUUUAAAUCAAAAUAAAAAUGAUAUAUUUAGAAACAUAAAAAAAUAUAUUUCAUUUUAAAUGCAUUUUUUUUAUUUUAGUUUAAUAUUAAUUUUUAUGUUGUAUCAGUUUUUUAAAAAAUCAUUUUAACUACCAAUAGUAUCAAAUGAUAUUUAAAAAAUUUCAUUGAAAUGUUUUUUUUUUUAAAUCAAAUGCCAUAACCUUUUAAUUACUAAACCAAAUCUUACUAAUAUCACGUGCUAGGAAAUAGUUUUAAAGAAUGUAAUAAUAGAGUUGACGUAUUUUUUACUUUUAAAAUAUGUAUAAUAAUUAAACAUGAUAAGUUUGUCAUGUAUCGUUGCUUAUUGGGCUGGAAAUAUAAUUUAGAAUUAAUCAUAUUUUCUAAAAAAUGAUAAGAAGCAGAGAUAGAUUGUUUAUAUAAAAAUUUAUAGAUGAGAAUAGAUAAUACUCCUAUGGCACCGACCGAGACGUAAUAGAAGACAACCGACUAGUGGUACAGAAGAACAGGUCAAUGGUGUAACCUCUCCUCCACAGGAAAUUGCAGUUAAAAUGGAAGACAUCACCAAUCUUAGCGAGAACUUUGCUAGCGGUUUGUUUAGUUUUGUACCCACGUAAUGUUAACUGGGUGGCUCACGAUGUAGCCAAAAGAAAGCCCCAACUCAUUCUCUUGUCAGCCCGUCUAG